AAACUUCGCAAUACACGAAAGUGUGACGGGGCCAUCCCGAGUGCCGUCCGCUGAGGAUGGCUUUUCUCCAGUAUAGAUCGCUGGAGGAAUAAGGAGAGGGCAAGUCUGGUGUCAGCCGCCGCGGUAAUACCAGCUCUCCGAGUGGUGGGGAUGUUUAUUGGGCCUGAAGCAUCCGUAGCCGGUUGGGCAAGUUCUCCGUUAAAUCCAGCGACUAAUCGUUGGUCUGCGGGGGGUACUGCCCGGCUAGGAGGCGGGAGAGGCCGACGGUAUUCUAGGGGUAGGGGUGAAAUCCUAUAAUCCCUGGAAGACCACCAGUGGCGAAGGCUGUCGGCUAGAACGCGCUCGACGGUGAGGGAUGAAAGCUGGGGGAGCGAACCGG
Molecule: ribosomal RNA, 379 nt
Filed under: uncultured archaeon
Lineage: Archaea
Description: bacterial SSU rRNA
Rfam family: Archaeal small subunit ribosomal RNA
Source: RNAcentral